UCAGGUGGUGAUAGCGAAAGGGUUCCACCUCUUCCCAUUCCGAACAGAGAAGUUAAACCUUUCCACGCCGAUGAUACUACGAAAGUGGGAAAGUAGGUAACCGCCCCCU
Molecule: ribosomal RNA, 109 nt
Filed under: Bacteroides sp.
Lineage: Bacteria; Pseudomonadati; Bacteroidota; Bacteroidia; Bacteroidales; Bacteroidaceae
Also listed under: 1 other name
Source: RNAcentral